RNAcentral lists this ribosomal RNA (253 nucleotides) under uncultured bacterium. RNAcentral's name for it is "partial 16S ribosomal RNA". It matches the Rfam family "Bacterial small subunit ribosomal RNA", at positions 524 to 776 of the family's 1533-position model. The record is from RNAcentral.
UACGUAGGAGGCAAGCGUUGUCCGGAAUCAUUGGGCGUAAAGAGCGCGUAGGCGGCCCGAUAAGUCCGCUGUGAAAGUCAAGGGCUCAACCCUUGAAUGCCGGUGGAUACUGUCGGGCUAGAGUCCGGAAGAGGCGAGUGGAAUUCCUGGUGUAGCGGUGAAAUGCGCAGAUAUCGGGAGGAACACCAAUGGCGAAGGCAGCUCGCUGGGACGGUACUGACGCAGAGACGCGAAAGCGUGGGGAGCAAACAGG